GACGAACGCUGGCGGCGCGCCUAACACAUGCAAGUCGAGCGAAGCGGCGAACGGGUGAGUAACGCGUGAGGAACCUGCCUCUCACAACGGGAUAGCCUCGGGAAACCGGGAUUAAUACCGUAUGGUGAGAGAUGGCCUCGCGUCUGUGUAGUUAGUUGGUGGGGUAACGGCCUACCAAGACGACGAUCAGUAACCGGCCGUGUAGUGUGAACGGUCACAUUUGAACUGAUACACGGUCCAAACUCCUACGGGAGGCAGCAGUGGUGAAUCAUGCACAAUGGGUGGAACCCUAAGGCAGCGACGCCGCGUGAGCGAUGAAGGUUUUCGAAUCGUAAAGCUCUGUCCUAUGGGAAGCGGUACCAUAGGAGGAAGCCCCGGCUAACUACGUGCCAGCCGCCGCGUAAUAC
This 407-nucleotide ribosomal RNA is filed under the name uncultured bacterium. RNAcentral describes it as "partial 16S ribosomal RNA". It matches the Rfam family "Bacterial small subunit ribosomal RNA", at positions 28 to 526 of the family's 1533-position model. The record is from RNAcentral.